UGCCCCAGUAACGGCGAGUGAAGCGGCAACAGCUCAAAUUUGAAAUCUGGCCCCCCGGGCCCGAGUUGUAAUUUGCAGAGGAUGCUUUUGGUGAGGCACCUACCGAGUCCCCUGGAAUGGGGCGCCAUAGAGGGUGAGAGCCCCGUAUGGUAGGACGCCGAACCUCUGUAAAGCUCCUUCGACGAGUCGAGUAGUUUGGGAAUGCUGCUCUAAAUGGGAGGUAAAUUUCUUCUAAAGCUAAAUACCGGCCAGAGACCGAUAGCGCACAAGUAGAGUGAUCGAAAGAUGAAAAGCACUUUGAAAAGAGGGUUAAAAAGUACGUGAAAUUGUUGAAAGGGAAGCGCUUGUGACCAGACUUGCGCCGGGCGGAUCAUCCAGCGUUCUCGCUGGUGCACUCCGCCCGGUUCAGGCCAGCAUCGGUUUUCGCCGGGGGACAAAGGCUUCGGGAACGUGGCUCCUUUCGGGGAGUGUUAUAGCCCGUUGCGUAAUACCCCGGCGGGGACCGACGACCGCGCUUCGGCAAGGAUGCUGGCGUAAUGGUCAUCAGCGACCCGUCUUGAAACACGGACCGAGGAGUCAAGCAUUAGUGCGAGUGUUUGGGUGUAAAACCCGCACGCGUAAUGAAAGUGAACGUAGGUGAGAGCUUCGGCGCAUCAUCGACCGAUCCUGAUGUUUUCGGAAGGAUUUGAGUAGGAGCAUUAACGCUUGGACCCGAAAGAUGGUGAACUAUACUUGAAUAGGGUGAAGCCA
RNAcentral lists this ribosomal RNA (750 nucleotides) under Pyricularia grisea. Its description in RNAcentral is "partial large subunit ribosomal RNA". It matches the Rfam family "Eukaryotic large subunit ribosomal RNA", at positions 76 to 854 of the family's 3401-position model. The record is from RNAcentral. Lineage: Eukaryota; Fungi; Ascomycota; Sordariomycetes; Magnaporthales; Pyriculariaceae.